CCUGAUAUCCUGAAAAAGCUGUCACACUCCCAGAGAGUUGCGCUCCUGGGUGCCUCUCCACAAAGGAGAGAAACUGAGUCCGAGGGAUGUCAACAUGCCAAGUCCAUGGAAAUAUCAGUGGGCUGGAAUUCUAGCUGCCUGAAAGAAGACAUUCCUCACACAAGACCUCACAAUCAUAUCCAUGGAAUUAUAGCACUGGGCUCUCCAGAUGGUGCUACAGGAAGACCUCCAGAAAUUUGACAAUCCUCUAUUCAAGGCCCUACCACAGAGACACACAGGAACGGAACUCAGAAUCACAAACAAAGAAACUUUGAUCCAAGAAAGAAAAUGAUCUUUAAAAAGACCCUCGUUUCAUGCUGGCCGAUGCUGAGAAAAUCUGCUCUGAAGGAUAUUUGGAGACACUGAUUAAAAGAUGGUUGUCCCAGUGGAGGGGGAUUCUUCGUGUUACGUAGAUAGGAAGCACGAUGCAAAAGUGUUGAAGCAGGAGUGUAAAGAAUAAUUAAAACACCUGCCCAAGACCCAAGCAAGGAUAGGAUUUCCCAGACAUUCGUGAGGGAGAAAAUGCCAUGUCCUUUCCUUCUGGUGUCACAUCAGAAUCUGAAGGCUGCUAGAGAAGGGAGAGAAACAUGAAAGUGAGUCCCAUGCUGAUUGUUGUUGAAAUACCUGGAAAGAAACUGGCAAAGACUAUCCAAGGGAUGCUAAGACAUGUCCGAACUUACAAAACAGUAGAACCUGAAUAGGAAUUUGAAGUUGUCUAUACUCUCCUCAGCCACACCCUGCCAUUUUACAGAUUGUCUUCUCUGGGGAAGUUAGCUGUCAUGUUGUGAGGAUACUCAAGCAGUUUAUAAAGAGGUUCAUGUCGCAAGGAAUGGAGGCCUCCUGCCAACAGCCAUGUAAAGGAGCCAUCUAGGAAAUAGAUUCUCCAGCCCCAGUCAGACCUUCAGAUGAUUACAGCCCCUACCAACCUUCUGACUGCGGUGGAAGGAAGGUUCCGGAACCAGAACCACCCAGGUUAAUGUGGGUAAGUCUCAUCCAAUCCUUUGAAGGCCUGAAGAACAAAGAGUGAGGUUUCUGGAAGAAGAAAAUUUUACCUCAAGCCUGCAAUGUAGAAAUUCUGCUUGAGUUUCCCGCCUGCUGGCCUGCCCUGUGGAAUUCGGAGUCAAGAAGGAGUCUUGUAAGCAUUAACUGAGAUAGUAUAUGAAGAGUGCUUUUGCACCGAGUGAACCUUCAAUCAACUGUACUAGUUUGUAUGCCUGGAAGAGCUGCUAUAUGGGAUCAGAAAGAAAAAUAAGGUGCAUACGCCAGAAAAAAAAUACUUGCAUAUGAGUACUAGGAGAUGCAUGACAAUGUUCACGGCAGCAGUAUUCAUGGCAGUGAAAAAUGAAAAGAACUGAAAUGCCCAUUGAUAAAAACGUCUACUUAUUUGUGUCAUCUUUGCACAGUGGAAUUGUGCGAGUGGAAAUGAUUGAUCUACAGCUAGGAGAAGCAGCAGAGCUCAAUCUCAAAAACAUAACGUUGUGUGGAAAAAGCUAACCUCAGAACACUUUGCGGCUCUAUCUUAGCAAACCAGGAGAGAAAUUCUCCUGAUGGCCUUGAAGAAGCAAACAGCCACCUGGUUAAGCCCCUGUGGAUAGUGCCAAGUGGCAGGAAAGUGGGAGCCACCUCUAGGACCUGAGGAUUAAAGUCAGUAAGAGCUGGGACCUCACUCAUGCAGACUCGAGGACAUGAAUUCGACCAACAACUUGAAUGAGCUUGGAAGUGGAUUCUUCCCUAGUCCAGUCUUCAGAAAUUAAGAAUGUUCCCAAAGAAUGAUGGAGACAUUUCAAAAGGAUACGGAAGCCAGAUUGUGGGCGCUUCUACUGGCCAACUCUGGGACAUCGUGGACAUCAAAAUAAAUUUGUAAUAAUAAAGGAUUAUAGCCUAUUAGUUAAAUCAGAAAAAUCUGAUUUAACUAAAUGAGUAGGAGGAAAAGAAAGCUCUUCCUUAUAUUAGAAAGUCAAUUAAUAAAUGCAGAAAGGAAUGAAAAAAUUAGAAAAGCCACCAUUUGGCAACCAUGGCAGGCAGAAUGGGGAGUAUGCCUCCAGACAGUAAUUCCUUUCAAACUGGUUUAUAGGAACUCACUGAGCUUGCUGAUCGACCUCUGAGAGGCAAAGUUUCUGAAUUAUGAAGUACUGAUUAUAUAAACUUAGACAGAGACAUGCUUCAUUAUUUAAUAGGACUGUGUCAAAAGCCUACUAUUAGGAUGAUGUGUUGGGUGUGGAACAGGGUCUCUUCCUGCCAGGAACACUGGUGAUUUCACUCCGUGUUCAGGCUGAUCUUUGAAGUUGAAGACAAGCAGAAGAAUCCUUCUAAAAUUUAGCCAUGCCCAUAGGCUGGGAGGGACACUGCUCCAUUCAGAGGCAGCAAAGCACAUUACUGUAUCUCCUAUAGAGCUUUGAGCAGUCCAGUGUACAUGGAGAAACUUAGUAAAUGUUGUUGAAUUAGUGAAUGAACAAAUCAAUGGACCAAGUCAGGGGUAAGUCUUACAUUUGUCAUCUAGGUGAUUAAGAAAGGAAAAAGUAUCUGUUUCAAGAGGAUUACAAUCUAACUGUACUCCAAUAGUAAAAUUUACUCUUUUGGAAUCUGA
RNAcentral lists this long non-coding RNA (2626 nucleotides) under Homo sapiens (human). Its description in RNAcentral is "HSALNT0308970". Lineage: Eukaryota; Metazoa; Chordata; Mammalia; Primates; Hominidae. The record is from RNAcentral.